Molecule: ribosomal RNA, 253 nt
Filed under: uncultured bacterium
Lineage: Bacteria
Description: partial 16S ribosomal RNA
Rfam family: Bacterial small subunit ribosomal RNA
Source: RNAcentral
UACGUAGGUGGCAAGCGUUGUUCGGAUUCAUUGGGCGUAAAGGGUGCGUAGGUGGCGCGCUAAGUCAGGUGUGAAAUUUCGGAGCUUAACUCCGAAACUGCAUUUGAUACUGGCGUGCUUGAGGACUGGAGAGGAGACUGGAAUUCAUGGUGUAGCAGUGAAAUGCGUAGAGAUCAUGAGGAAGACCAGUGGCGAAGGCGGGUCUCUGGACAGUUCCUGGCACUGAGACACGAAGGCCAGGGGAGCAAACGGG